This 117-nucleotide ribosomal RNA is filed under the name Hypericum perforatum. Lineage: Eukaryota; Viridiplantae; Streptophyta; Magnoliopsida; Malpighiales; Hypericaceae. RNAcentral also lists the same sequence under 2 other names. The record is from RNAcentral.
GUGCGAUCAUACCAGCAGUAAUGCACCGGAUCCCAUCAGAACUCCGAAGUUAAACGCGCUUGGGCGAGAGUAGUACUAGGAUGGGUGACCUCCUGGGAAGUCCUCGUGUUGCACCUC